Molecule: long non-coding RNA, 568 nt
Organism: Eupeodes corollae
Lineage: Eukaryota; Metazoa; Arthropoda; Insecta; Diptera; Syrphidae
Exons: 3
Source: RefSeq, a predicted model, not a curated record
GGGUACGAUUUUAGGAAUAAGUGCUCUUCUCACAAAACCUAAUAUUUAUCCUAGAAUGAAAGUAAGGCUUGACAAGGCGAAAUAUACUCCGACUCUGUUGAAGAUUGGAUCAAAAGUGGUAUACAGGAGUCCUCAGAUUCGUAAAUCAAGAUGUACAUUUUUGUGAACCAUACGAGGUCAUAAGAAUUCGACUAAUUGCAGUGUUAAAAGAUUGUGGUGGAGACAGCAAAAGGUUCUGAAGAUUGGCACAAAGGAGAAUUCCAAAUUUGACGGAAGAAGACUAACAAAAAAAAGUUGAAGAGUUUUGAAGCUUAAAAGUUGCUUUGAUGUUAGGUUUUAUUUUAUCGAGAGCGAUGUACACGCAGAAAGGCCGUGCUAGAGUGCAAAAGUAUUGUACUUCACUGUAGUAAGCGCUUAGGAUAAGGAGAUUAUUAACUUAUUACACAGAAGAACGAACAUAAAUUGGGAGAAUCGACACUAAGCGAAUCUGUGAGUGUUGAAAGAAGAGGAACUUCUGGACAACCGCCUUGAAAACAACGCCACAGAAUCGUAUGAAGUCUAUUAACUU